This 347-nucleotide unclassified non-coding RNA is filed under the name soil metagenome. Its description in RNAcentral is "partial contains 5.8S ribosomal RNA, internal transcribed spacer 2, and large subunit ribosomal RNA". The stretch from base 1 to 120 matches the Rfam family "5.8S ribosomal RNA", at positions 35 to 154 of the family's 154-position model. The record is from RNAcentral.
GAUGAAGAACGUAGUGAAAUGCGAUAAGUAAUGUGAAUUGCAGAAUUCAGUGAAUCAUCGAAUCUUUGAACGCACAUUGCGCCCGCCAGUAUUCUGGCGGGCAUGCCUGUCCGAGCGUCAUUUCAACCCUCAGGCCCUGGUUGCCUGGUGUUGGGGCGCCGCGCACCCUCUGCGGGCGCGGGCCCCGAAAGUCAGUGGCGGGCUCGCCAGGACUCCGAGCGCAGUAAUUUUCUCUCGCUGUGGAGCGCCUGGUGGGUUACCAGCCGUAAAACACCCCAAAUUCCAAAGGUUGACCUCGGAUCAGGUAGGAAUACCCGCUGAACUUAAGCAUAUCAAUAAGCGGAGGA